RNAcentral lists this transfer RNA (74 nucleotides) under Omnitrophica bacterium GWA2_52_12. RNAcentral describes it as "tRNA-Gly". It matches the Rfam family "tRNA". From Rfam's summary of the family: Transfer RNA (tRNA) molecules are approximately 80 nucleotides in length. Their secondary structure includes four short double-helical elements and three loops (D, anti-codon, and T loops). Further hydrogen bonds mediate the characteristic L-shaped molecular structure. tRNAs have two regions of fundamental functional importance: the anti-codon, which is responsible for specific mRNA codon recognition, and the 3' end, to which the tRNAs corresponding amino acid is attached (by aminoacyl-tRNA synthetases). tRNAs cope with the degeneracy of the genetic code in two manners: having more than one tRNA (with a specific anti-codon) for a particular amino acid; and 'wobble' base-pairing, i.e. permitting non-standard base-pairing at the 3rd anti-codon position. Lineage: Bacteria; Pseudomonadati; Candidatus Omnitrophota. The record is from RNAcentral.
GCGGGCAUAGCUUAAUGGUAAAGUCCGAGCCUUCCAAGCUCGCUAUGAGGGUUCGAUUCCCUCUGCCCGCUCCA